RNAcentral lists this transfer RNA (74 nucleotides) under bacterium. RNAcentral's name for it is "tRNA-His". It matches the Rfam family "tRNA". Rfam says of the family: Transfer RNA (tRNA) molecules are approximately 80 nucleotides in length. The record is from RNAcentral. RNAcentral also lists the same sequence under 1 other name.
GUGGCUAUAGCUCAGCUGGUUAGAGCAUCGGUUUGUGGUACCGAGGGUCGUGGGUUCGAGCCCCAUUAGCCACC